This is a regulatory RNA element of Pseudomonas sp. M47T1, 85 nucleotides long. It matches the Rfam family "gyrA RNA". The record is from Rfam. NCBI's taxonomy places the organism in Bacteria, Pseudomonadati, Pseudomonadota, Gammaproteobacteria, Pseudomonadales, Pseudomonadaceae.
UCGUAAGUCGCCUCACGGCAUUGGCCGUCGGCGGCGAGCUUCGUUCGUCCCAAUGGAUGUGACGGAGUUUCACCAGAAAAAGGAA